RNAcentral lists this ribosomal RNA (408 nucleotides) under uncultured bacterium. RNAcentral describes it as "partial 16S ribosomal RNA". It matches the Rfam family "Bacterial small subunit ribosomal RNA", at positions 28 to 526 of the family's 1533-position model. The record is from RNAcentral.
GACGAACGCUGGCGGCGUGCCUAAUACAUGCAAGUAGAACGCAGUUUCUAACGGUUGAGUAACGCGUAGGUAACCUUCCUCAUAUCGGGGGAUAACUAUUGGAAACGAUAGCUAAUACCACAUACUGUGAGAUGGACCUGCGUUGUAUUAGCUAGUUGGUAAGGAAAAGGCUCAACAAGGCGACGAUACAAAGCCUACCUGAGAGGUGGAACGGCAACACUGGGAAUAAGAAACGGCCCAGACUCAAACGAGAGGCAGAAGGAGGGAAUCUUCGGCAUUAGACGGGAGUCUGACCGAGCACCGCCGCGUGAGUGAAGAAGAUUUGCGAAUAGUAGAGCUAUGUUGUUAGAGAAGCGGUAACUAACCGGAAGAGGACGGCUAACUACGUGCCAGCAGCCGCGGUAAUUC